Molecule: ribosomal RNA, 253 nt
Filed under: uncultured bacterium
Lineage: Bacteria
Description: partial 16S ribosomal RNA
Rfam family: Bacterial small subunit ribosomal RNA
Source: RNAcentral
UACGUAGGGGGCAAGCGUUGUCCGGAAUCAUUGGGCGUAAAGAGCGUGUAGGCGGCCCGAUAAGUCCGCUGUGAAAGUCCAGGGCUCAACCCUGGAAUGCCAGUGGAAACUGUCGGGCUAGAGUCCGGAAGAGGCGAGUGGAAUUCCUGGUGUAGCGGUGAAAUGCGCAGAUAUCAGGAGGAACACCGAUGGCGAAGGCAGCUCGCUGGGACGGUACUGACGCUGAGACGCGAAAGCGUGGGGAGCAAACAGG